Molecule: non-coding RNA, 409 nt
Organism: Jatropha curcas
Lineage: Eukaryota; Viridiplantae; Streptophyta; Magnoliopsida; Malpighiales; Euphorbiaceae
Source: RefSeq, a predicted model, not a curated record
UUAAUAUUUUAUUCCCUCCAUUAUAGGCUCAAUUGCAGCCAGAUUUGACUGUAGCAGUGAAGAAGCUUUUUCCUCAAUCAAAGACAGCUUCAGAAACAAGAGCAGAGAUCUUUGCAUUGUCUGAGUUGGAAAAUCAGAAUCUUGUUAAACUGCUGGGUUGUUAUUCAAAUAGAGGCCUUCAGUUGCUAAUAUAUGAGUACAUGGAUAAUGGUUCCCUUGAGAAAGUCUUAUUUGAUCCUGAUCGUCCACUGCAACUUAGUUGGGAAACUAGAUACAGUAUUUGUGAACGAGUAGCCCUGGGUUUGGAGUUUCUACAUAAAAAAGAGCCACCUAUAAUCCACAGAAAUAUCAAGGCUAGUAAUAUUCUGCUUAAUGAAAAUUGUGAGGCUAAAAUCUCAGAUUUUGGAUU